AAACUUCACGUUUUGCCAGCGAAUUCAAUUCUGAUUGAAUUGCUUCUUGCCAUUUUGGCCAAUCAUGUCUUUUUCGACAUUCUCCAACAGAUUGAGGUUUAAGAUCCUCAUUUUCUUGCAUAAUGCUAGAUGCGACAUUAAAAGCCAAGACAUAAUCCACCACUAUAUUCCACUCGAUUAAAAUUUGCCUCAAUAUCGAUUGAUUUAUGGAUAGUUCCUUAUUUUCCUGAGUCUCGGGUUCAAAGGAUUCUUCAUGAAUCUCAGAGUUUAUUAAAUCAUGAAUUUCCUCAUGAGAUUCUUU
This 301-nucleotide long non-coding RNA is filed under the name Nicotiana benthamiana. RNAcentral's name for it is "long non-coding RNA (NBEN_LNC030121)". Lineage: Eukaryota; Viridiplantae; Streptophyta; Magnoliopsida; Solanales; Solanaceae. The record is from RNAcentral.